UAUUUAGGUAGCGCCUCGUGAAUUCAUCUCCGGGGGUAGAGCACUGUUUCGGCUAGGGGGCCAUCCCGGCUUACCAACCCGAUGCAAACUGCGAAUACCGGAGAAUGUUAUCACGGGAGACACACGGCGGGUGCUAACGUCCGUCGUGAAGAGGGAAACAACCCAGACCGCCAGCUAAGGUCCCAAAGUCAUGGUUAAGUGGGAAACGAUGUGGGAAGGCCCAGACAGCCAGGAUGUUGGCUUAGAAGCAGCCAUCAUUUAAAGAAAGCGUAAUAGCUCACUGGUCGAGUCGGCCUGCGCGGAAGAUGUAACGGGGCUAAACCAUG
Molecule: ribosomal RNA, 326 nt
Filed under: Salmonella enterica
Lineage: Bacteria; Pseudomonadati; Pseudomonadota; Gammaproteobacteria; Enterobacterales; Enterobacteriaceae
Also listed under: 1 other name
Description: partial 23S ribosomal RNA
Rfam family: Bacterial large subunit ribosomal RNA
Source: RNAcentral